This 496-nucleotide ribosomal RNA is filed under the name uncultured bacterium. Its description in RNAcentral is "bacterial SSU rRNA". It matches the Rfam family "Bacterial small subunit ribosomal RNA", at positions 346 to 842 of the family's 1533-position model. The record is from RNAcentral.
AGGCAGCAGUGAGGAAUAUUGGUCAAUGGGCGUAAGCCUGAACCAGCCAAGUCGCGUGAGGGAUGAAGGUUCUAUGGAUCGUAAACCUCUUUUAUAAGGGAAUAAAGUGCGGGACGUGUCCUGUUUUGUAUGUACCUUAUGAAUAAGGAUCGGCUAACUCCGUGCCAGCAGCCGCGGUAAUACGGAGGAUCCGAGCGUUAUCCGGAUUUAUUGGGUUUAAAGGGUGCGUAGGCGGCCUUUUAAGUCAGCGGUGAAAGUCUGUGGCUCAACCAUAGAAUUGCCGUUGAAACUGGGGGGCUUGAGUAUGUUUGAGGCAGGCGGAAUGCGUGGUGUAGCGGUGAAAUGCUUAGAUAUCACGCAGAACCCCGAUUGCGAAGGCAGCCUGCCAAGCCAUGACUGACGCUGAUGCACGAAAGCGUGGGGAUCAAACAGGAUUAGAUACCCUGGUAGUCCACGCAGUAAACGAUGAUCACUAGCUGUUUGCGAUACAGUGUAA